Long non-coding RNA from Amphimedon queenslandica, 320 nucleotides. RefSeq lists it as uncharacterized. Lineage: Eukaryota; Metazoa; Porifera; Demospongiae; Haplosclerida; Niphatidae. The transcript is spliced from 2 exons. The record is from RefSeq and is a predicted model, not a curated record.
GCCUUGUGUAAUCUAACCUUUAUUCUCUGAUAGGUGUUGUUGUCCAUGGUCUAAUGCUUGUAGGGUAAGGACUGCACAAGAAGAGGACACUGUAGCCAUUGUUGGUAUAAAGAAUGAGAACAAAGAUGAUACAAGUGAUGAGGCUGAAGAUGAUGAAAAUGAGUCACUGAUAAAAGAUAUAGACAUCCUUGAGUCUAGUGUGUCAGCUAAAUUUGACAAAUAUAUCAUGAAACAAUCUUUUUAUGACAGCAUUAUAAGAUUUACAUACAUUCCAGUAUAUUUUAUGUCUAUUUUAAAAUAAUAUCAUUAUAUCUAUUAUA